UGCGUAGGCGGGUUUCUAAGUCAGAGGUGAAAGCCUGGAGCUCAACUCCAGAACUGCCUUUGAUACUGGAAGUCUUGAGUUCGGGAGAGGUGAGUGGAACUGCGAGUGUAGAGGUGAAAUUCGUAGAUAUUCGCAAGAACACCAGUGGCGAAGGCGGCUCACUGGCCCGAUACUGACGCUGAGGCACGAAAGCGUGGGAGCAAACA
This 206-nucleotide ribosomal RNA is filed under the name uncultured bacterium. RNAcentral's name for it is "partial 16S ribosomal RNA". It matches the Rfam family "Bacterial small subunit ribosomal RNA", at positions 568 to 774 of the family's 1533-position model. The record is from RNAcentral.